Molecule: ribosomal RNA, 292 nt
Filed under: uncultured bacterium
Lineage: Bacteria
Description: partial 16S ribosomal RNA
Source: RNAcentral
GGACUACACGGGUUUCUAAUCCUGUUUGCUCCCCUUGCUCUCGCGCAUCAGCGUCUGGAAUAAACUAGAAAAUCGCUUUCGCCACCGGUGUUCCUCCAAAUAUCCACGCAUUUCACCGCUACACUUGGAAUUCCGUUUUCUCCGUCAAUCCACUAGACUUGCAGUUUCGAAUGCAGCUCCGAGGGUGAGCCCCGGAAUUUCACAUCCGACUUACAAAUCCGCCUACGCGCCCUUUACGCCCAAUAAAUCCGAUUAAUGCUUGCACCCUCCGUAUUACCGCGGCUGCUGGCAC